This 482-nucleotide ribosomal RNA is filed under the name uncultured bacterium. RNAcentral describes it as "partial 23S ribosomal RNA". It matches the Rfam family "Bacterial large subunit ribosomal RNA", at positions 1605 to 2120 of the family's 2925-position model. The record is from RNAcentral.
AUUUAAAUAUAUAUAUUGGAAAAAAAAAUAAAAAAAUCGUACCAACACUAACACAAGUUGAUUGGCUGAGUAAGCUAAGAUAAAAAAUAAUAACACUAAAGGAACUCUGCAAAUUGUCUUUGUAACUUCGGGAAAAAAGAGCUAAAUAGUUUUAAAUAAAAGGGGUAGCGACUGUUUAACAAAACAUAAGACUUUGCAAAAUAGAAAUAUGACGUAUAAAGUCUGACAUCUGCCCGGUGUUGCAAGGUAAAAAUUAUAGACGUAAGUUUGUAAAUAAACCCCAAUAAACGGCGGCCGUAAUCCUAACGGUCCUAAGGUAGCAAAAUCCCUUGACGGGGUAAGUUCCGUCCUGCACGAAUGGUGUAACGACUGCCCCACUGUCUCUAGUGUUAAUUUUAUGAAUUGAAUAGACGUGAAGAUGCGUUAAAAGUACAGCUAGACGGAGAGACCCCUAAUGCACCUUUACUGUUAUCUAAUAUUAA